RNAcentral lists this unclassified non-coding RNA (298 nucleotides) under Hevea brasiliensis (rubber tree). The record is from RNAcentral. Lineage: Eukaryota; Viridiplantae; Streptophyta; Magnoliopsida; Malpighiales; Euphorbiaceae.
UGGAGCAUCCCUUGUCAAGUUUGUCUGUUGAAGGCUCAGUGAGAGCUGAUGGAGAGAGUUUCCAAGAAAUUGUUAAACAGGGGGAGUUCAGUGUUAGAAAUGAUACCAUUAGAGGUCCUGGGGGCGGUUCUGGAGGAAGUAUACUGUUGUUUCUGAAUACACUGGAUCUUGGUGAGUCUGCUGUUCUUUCAAGUGGUGGGGGCUAUGGUGUGCCAAAUGGGGCUGGUGGAGGAGGUGGUGGUAGGAUUCACUUCCAUUGGUCAGACAUUCCCACUGGAGAUGUGUACCAGCCCAUUGC